Molecule: ribosomal RNA, 277 nt
Filed under: uncultured prokaryote
Description: partial 16S ribosomal RNA
Rfam family: Bacterial small subunit ribosomal RNA
Source: RNAcentral
GACGAACUGUCCAAACGUUAUUCGGAAUCACUGGGCUUAAAGGGUGCGUAGGCGGACUUGCAAGUGGGAUCUGAAAUCCCCCGGCUCAACCGGGGAACUGGGUCUCAAACUGCGAGACUUGAGUAUCAGAGGGGAAAGCGGAAUUCCUGGUGGAGCGGUAAAAUGCGCAGAGAUCAGGAGGAACACCGGUGGCGAAGGCGGCUUUCUGGCUGACAACUGACGCUGAGGCGCGAAAGCGUGGGGAGCAAACAGGAUUAGAUACCCUCGUAGUCCCUGA